RNAcentral lists this ribosomal RNA (484 nucleotides) under uncultured Desulfocapsa sp. RNAcentral's name for it is "bacterial SSU rRNA". It matches the Rfam family "Bacterial small subunit ribosomal RNA", at positions 897 to 1382 of the family's 1533-position model. The record is from RNAcentral. Lineage: Bacteria; Pseudomonadati; Thermodesulfobacteriota; Desulfobulbia; Desulfobulbales; Desulfocapsaceae.
AAACUUAAAGGAAUUGACGGGGCCCGCACAAGCGGUGGAGCAUGUGGUUUAAUUCGACGCAACGCGAAGAACCUUACCUGGAUUUGACAUCCCGGGAAUCUUUCUGAAAGGAUUGAGUGCCCUUCGGGGAGCCCGGUGACAGGUGCUGCAUGGCUGUCGUCAGCUCGUGUCGUGAGAUGUUGGGUUAAGUCCCGCAACGAGCGCAACCCUUAUCUUUAGUUACCAUCAUUAAGUUGGGGACUCUAAAGAUACUGCCCCGGUUAACGGGAGGAAGGUGGGGAUGACGUCAAGUCCUCAUGGCCUUUAUGACCAGGGCUACACACGUACUACAAUGGCCGGUACAAAGGGCAGCCACUUAGCGAUAAGGAGCCAAUCCCGUAAAGCCGGUCUCAGUCCGGAUUGGAGUCUGCAACUCGACUCCAUGAAGUUGGAAUCGCUAGUAAUCGCAGAUCAGCACGCUGCGGUGAAUACGUUCCCGGGCCUU